This 251-nucleotide ribosomal RNA is filed under the name uncultured prokaryote. Its description in RNAcentral is "partial 16S rRNA". It matches the Rfam family "Bacterial small subunit ribosomal RNA", at positions 525 to 775 of the family's 1533-position model. The record is from RNAcentral.
ACGGAGGAUGCGAGCGUUAUCCGGAAUUAUUGGGCUUAAAGGGCGCGCAGGCGGACAAUUAAGUCAGUGGUGAAAUACUGGAGCUUAACUGUAGAAAUGCAAUUGAUACUGAAAGCCUUGAGUUUGGAUAAGGAAGGCGGAAUGCGUAGUGUAGCGGUGAAAUGCGUAGAUAUUGCUAGGAACACCAAUGGCGAAGGCGGCUUUCUGGACUGACUCUGACGCUGAGGCGCGAAAGCGUGGGAAUCGAACGG